RNAcentral lists this ribosomal RNA (498 nucleotides) under uncultured bacterium. RNAcentral describes it as "partial 16S ribosomal RNA". It matches the Rfam family "Bacterial small subunit ribosomal RNA", at positions 30 to 523 of the family's 1533-position model. The record is from RNAcentral.
AUUGAACGCUGGCGGCAUGCUUUACACAUGCAAGUCGAACGGUAACAGGCCGCAAGGUGCUGACGAGUGGCGAACGGGUGAGUAAUGCAUCGGAACGUGCCCAGUCGUGGGGGAUAACGCAGCGAAAGCUGUGCUAAUACCGCAUACGAUCUAUGGAUGAAAGCGGGGGACCGUAAGGCCUCGCGCGAUUGGAGCGGCCGAUGUCAGAUUAGCUAGUUGGUGGGGUAAAGGCCCACCAAGGCGACGAUCUGUAGCUGGUCUGAGAGGACGACCAGCCACACUGGGACUGAGACACGGCCCAGACUCCGACGGGAGGCAGCAGUGGGGAAUUUUGGACAAUGGGCGAAAGCCUGAUCCAGCCAUGCCGCGUGCAGGAUGAAGGCCUUCGGGUUGUAAACUGCUUUUGUACGGAACGAAAAGACUCUUUCUAAUAAAGAGGGUCCAUGACGGUACCGUAAGAAUAAGCACCGGCUAACUACGUGCCAGCAGCCGCAGUAA